UACGAAGGGGGCUAGCGUUGUUCGGAAUUACUGGGCGUAAAGCGCACGUAGGCGGAUAUUUAAGUCAGGGGUGAAAUCCCGGGGGCUCAACCCCCGGAACUGCCUUUGAUACUGGGACGCUUGAGUAUGGUAGAGGUUGGUGGAACUGCGAGUGUAGAGGUGAAAUUCGUAGAUAUUCGCAAGAACACCGGUGGCGAAGGCGGCCAACUGGACCAUUACUGACGCUGAACGGCGAAAGCUAGGGGAGCAAACGGGGAUUGAGAAACCCC
RNAcentral lists this ribosomal RNA (269 nucleotides) under uncultured bacterium. RNAcentral describes it as "partial 16S ribosomal RNA". It matches the Rfam family "Bacterial small subunit ribosomal RNA", at positions 524 to 788 of the family's 1533-position model. The record is from RNAcentral.